RNAcentral lists this small RNA (2812 nucleotides) under Rattus norvegicus (Norway rat). Its description in RNAcentral is "uncharacterized LOC102549203". The record is from RNAcentral. Lineage: Eukaryota; Metazoa; Chordata; Mammalia; Rodentia; Muridae.
GCAGGCGGGAGCGGGGGCGGCGAGCAGGCCGGGGAAGGCGGUAACGCCAGCCUAAUGCACAGAUAGCUGACAUCAACUUCCGUCAGGCGGCUCCGGGAGAUCGAACCUUUCGAUUGUAACUGGGACAAUUUGCAUAGUGAUUCCCUUUCAGAGCUUUCUCGGGUCCAUAACAAGCCCAGGCAGCUAUUCAAAUGCAAGUUGCGUCCCCAAAUGCCCGGCUGGCCUGAGCAAAAGGAGCGGCUCGUCACCAAACGAGCCGAGACCAGCGCUGGGGUUCUGGGUCACCUCCUUUCUCCCGGCUUUUCCCUCGCUCUCGGGUUCCUGAAUUAGCUGUUUGUUUACGGCUACAGACUUGUGUGUGCCAGCGAACCGAGCCAGCGCGCGAGGGAGGGAAUUGAUCUUUCCCCAGACUCAAAGCUGGAGCGGAAGAAGUGCGGGGGAUUUGGGGUUCUGAGUGGGACUCAGCCCCUGGGUGCUGAGGAGAAGCCUGUGGGGCUCUCUAGCCCGCUUCUCUAACCCCAGCGACCUUGCAGGAAUCCUCAGGCCUGAGAGCUGCCCGGCUCUGGGCUUUGCAGAAAGUGGCGGCGGCUGCGUCCCGGUCUUUAAAACGAACGCAAAGAAAGGAGGCAAAGCUGAAACCUUGUCGCGUGUCAGAAGCAACCUGCCGUGAAAUUCGUUAAUGCGCCCCGACUCGCCCUUCGCGAAUUCUAUUGACCAUGGCUUUCGUCGGAGAGAGAAUUUUAACUACUGGCUGCUCUGGGCUCGGAGCUGAGGCUGGGAACAAGUAAAUCCAGCCCUGACCGACAAGAAUUGAUGGGGAUGUGCUGUUGAUUGGAGCCACGUGGACUUGCAUAGAAACCUGCUUUUUACUCUGCCUGUCUCGCUCCAAUUCAGGAGAAAGGUCGGGCCCCUUUGGAACAGAUUUGCUUACUUGGAAGGCUGGAUAUUCAUUUGGCAAGCUCUUUCCAGCUCUAGCCAGGCUGGGGAAGAAAAAUGAGACAACGGAAGGUUGCUCCUCAGGCUUUGGGUCAAAACUAACCCAAGGCAGGAAUACCUGAAGAGAUAUUAAACCAUACCUUUUGAUUCUGCUGUAUGAAGAUCGUGUCCUAAAUUUCAACACCCCCCACCCCAACUCCUUCAAGACUCUACAGCAUUACAGAGCUGCCAGAGAGAGGAAAGCACCCUGAGACCCGAGUCCGGUUGGCAGUGGACACCCAGCCUCCAUGACAGGAGCCACAGCUAUAGCGUCCACUUGUGUAAAGAAGGAGCCUGUGCCCAGAGAAUGUCUGAUCUUUGACCCUGGAACUCACAGCUCCAAGUUGCUGGAGAGAGUUAGUCCCAAAAUGAGGCUGCAGAAGAGGUCCCUGAAGGGCUGUGGAAAAGGCCAAGUGAGUUCCCCAGAAAGACAAUCGCAGACUUGGCAUUCCUGUUGCAGCGUCCAAGCAGAAGACCCAAAGACUUGACCUGCCAAAGGGUGCCUGCCCAUCUCCUUCUGUGGCCUAGUGAGGGACCUAUUCCUCACCUCCUCACUGCCACCACCUGGGAGAAAGUCACCUCACCUCAACUCAACAGAUAACAAGUCAAAGUGGAUCAGACCGCAGAACCUAUCAGAGUUCCAGGGAACAAGCAAUCCACACCCUUCUCCUUCAGCCCUGACACCUAGAGAGUCCAUGGAAGAGAUGGCUGGCAGGGGUUUCAUUCCAGCAAGUACGGGAGCUAAACCCUCUAGGCCAGUUUCCAGAGCAACAACAAGAACAAUAAAAAUAAGCAAUUUCCUCACUUUCUAAAUGUGUCCCAGCAUGUGUCGCCUAGCUCCAGACCUGAAGGUGCAUUUAAAGGUGCUAAGGGACCUGGCUGGGUAGUUUUGAGGUUUUUUUCCUAACAAUACUGCUAAAUGUAUGUGAAACCACAGUCGAGAAGCCACGUUGUUCCAGAACCAGGCAGUAAAAAUGUAGAAGUAGGCGCUGCAUGUCCAACGUGGAGUACGGAGUGCGGGAGACACGGGGAAAUUGCGACGGAUUCUGACACUAUCAUUGAAGAUGUUGGGAGUGUGGAAGAGGAUACAUUGUGGGUUCUUUUGUGGUUUUUAUGUAGAUUUAAAAACAAACAAACCCCCCAAACCCAGCUGUUGAUGUAAUCAUAGCAUCUCAGAUGUAGUAUAUUUCCCCUAAUAUAUUCACAGGGGAGAUAUAUAUAGAUAUAGAUAUAGAUAUAGAUAGAUAUAUAUCCUAAGUUCAUGUGGAAAACAAAUAUUUUGCUGAUUCCAGCAGCACAAGCUCUGAAAGCCAAAACAAGCAAACAAACCACUUGUGGGGACAAGGGGAGGGUGACUUCAAGCAGUCCUUCCCACAGGGGUGGCUGGCUUAGGGCUGUGGAGUCCAGAAAAGGCAAAGUAGAUCAUCACCGGAACUCAAAGUUACCUUGGGAAACAAGACAAGACCUGGGGUCGAAGUCAUGUGGGGGUCAGCCAGUAGUCCUUUGGGGUAUAGCAUAGCUGAGAAGUUCUCAGAUGGACUCAGUUGCUUCAGACUGGAGACUGGGAAGUUUCUUCCCCUGGCAAGCACAGCACCAAUCACUCCCAGAGUCAGGAGUCCUCACCUCUCCCUCAGGAGGCUCCUGACUGAGGUACCGCACUUCCCAACUGCCUUAGGCUGCUCGGGGUGUUGCCAGGCAAAUGAAACAAAAGGAACUCAAUAGUAAAUUAUUUUGUUCAGCCUUCUGUCUUUUUAUGAAAAUAAAAGCCAACACUUUGUCAUUUUUAAUCGCAUAAGCAGACAAUAAAUCUAAUUUCGAUAUUGAUUUUUUUCCAGAA